UUGUCGAACCCUGCAAAGCAGAACGACCCGCGAACGCGUUCAAAACACGGGGGCCUCGGCCCCCCCCGCGAGGGGCGCGAGCCCCGAGCACAAACGAACCCCGGCGCGGAAAGCGCCAAGGAAAACUAAAAACGAGGGCCUCCCUCUCCCCGUACCGUCCGCGGUGCGCGGGGCGAGGCGGCGGCUCCUUUCGAAACACAAACAACUCUCGGCAACGGAUAUCUCGGCUCUCGCAUCGAUGAAGAACGUAGCGAAAUGCGAUACUUGGUGUGAAUUGCAGAAUCCCGUGAACCAUCAAGUCUUUGAACGCAAGUUGCGCCCGAAGCCGUCAGGCCGAGGGCACGUCUGCCUGGGCGUCACGCAUCGCGUCGCCCCCCCACCCAGCGUGCUGGGGGCGGAUGUUGGCCUCCCGUGCUGCCCGGCGCGGCUGGCCGAAACGCGAGUCCGGCACUGCGGACGUCACGACAAGUGGUGGUUGGAGACUUCAACUCGCGUGCUGUCGUGCGAUCCCCCGCCGUGCGUCGGAAACUGAGGAGACCCUGACGCGCCCGUCUCCCCGAGGGAGCCGUGCGCUACGACCGCGACCCCAGGUCAGGCGGGAUUACCCGCUGAGUUUAACAAU
RNAcentral lists this ribosomal RNA (622 nucleotides) under Heliotropium bacciferum. RNAcentral describes it as "eukaryotic LSU rRNA". The stretch from base 204 to 359 matches the Rfam family "5.8S ribosomal RNA". The record is from RNAcentral. Lineage: Eukaryota; Viridiplantae; Streptophyta; Magnoliopsida; Boraginales; Heliotropiaceae.